This 72-nucleotide transfer RNA is filed under the name Marmota monax (woodchuck). RNAcentral's name for it is "tRNA.Ala". Lineage: Eukaryota; Metazoa; Chordata; Mammalia; Rodentia; Sciuridae. The record is from RNAcentral.
UUGAUGUAGCUCAGUGGUAGAGUGCUUGCCUCGCAUGGACAAGGCCCUGGGUUUAAUCCCCAACACCUCAAA